GGGAGCGGCUAAAGAAACGCUCCGUGGCGCUUCCAUUCCGAGGCCGCUCACUUCGAGGAAGCUGCCCGGCUCGAGCACCUUUUCCUCAAAACUACGCUUUAAUUUGUCCGCGCGCGCCUUUCGGCACAUCGUCUCGUCCCCGCCUUCUAGAUAGCCGUCCGGCUUUUUUUUUCUUUCUUCCUUCCGCCGGUUUCUUUUUUCCCCACUCUCCCCGCAUCGAUUGAUCUCUCUCGACCGGGUCCGACGCCACCACCGUUGCCGCCGUCGCUGCCGCCAUAUUCCUCCCGCUCGAAAACCAAACGAACCACUCCAAAAGUCGACGUCUUCGAGCCAGAUGUCCCAGCAUUUCUCAACACUGCCCUGAAGGUUCAAGACGUUUAUCAUCUCCUGGACCUGACGGAAUCCCGUGCAGAGUGCUAUGCUGUUUUGGUGAACGGGAGCGAAGUGUUGCCAGUCGAUCUCCGGAACGAAUCCUGGCGAGGCGGCACGGCUCCCACAAGCUGCAAAACUGAUCGUCUAGUUCCGUUUCGGAA
RNAcentral lists this long non-coding RNA (533 nucleotides) under Dermacentor andersoni. Its description in RNAcentral is "uncharacterized LOC126545552". Lineage: Eukaryota; Metazoa; Arthropoda; Arachnida; Ixodida; Ixodidae. The record is from RNAcentral.